UCACUGGGUAAGGUUCGCCCCCG
Molecule: microRNA, 23 nt
Filed under: Triops cancriformis
Lineage: Eukaryota; Metazoa; Arthropoda; Branchiopoda; Notostraca; Triopsidae
Description: tcf-miR-318
Gene: tcf-miR-318
Source: miRBase by way of RNAcentral